This is a long non-coding RNA of Ornithodoros turicata, 1537 nucleotides long. RefSeq lists it as uncharacterized. The record is from RefSeq and is a predicted model, not a curated record. The transcript has 6 exons. NCBI's taxonomy places the organism in Eukaryota, Metazoa, Arthropoda, Arachnida, Ixodida, Argasidae.
CGAAGGUUUAUAAACGACAACCUGGCUUAACAGAAGCAAAAGUCGUCUGCAAAACUUGCGUUGUCGUCUGCUAACUAGCUGCUGAAUACAGUGAUUGAGCAUCAACCAAACAUGAAGAUGCUUCUCCUGACAAUGAAAAAAUGGCUCAUGCUUCUCCUGUUACUCCUCGUCAUUGGAUCAGUGGCAGUAGCUGAUCCCUGGACUGCCAGACGCGCCAGUAGAAGUGCUGAUCCGGGUGGAUUCACUUGACAUUCCAGCUCAGGUUUUUCCGUGCGGGUGUUUGACUGGAAAAGCAGACUAAGGUGAGUACAUGCUUUUUUCUCUUCUCUUGUUAUAAGUUCUUCCCCUGUGAGCGUGCAAGGUCACAGCCAUUUAUGGAAUGCAUGUAGGUGAAAGAAAAAAAGAAAAGAGGUUCAUUCCUUCCCGCUGCCGACAUGCAAUCUUUGUGAUUUUAAAGUGCACCUUCUUAGAUCAUCGCAGUAGAUGAAAUGAAAAAUAAACGAUUGCAAACAGUACAACAUUAUUUUUUUAUUUAGGACAUUGCAUUGCGUUGUAUGUUUUGGAGGACAUUGCUAAUUUACAAAUCGGCUUCACCUAACUUCUACGUGCGUUGCGGGAAGUCAACGUUAGGAAAUGCUCAGUCUUGCUGGAUUGCUUGUUUCUUUGCAUUUCAAUUCAGCGGAACGGUGUUUUUUUAAUUGUUUGACUUUGGUUCUUCAUAAAACAUAUUUUCCAGUUCAUCGUCUUUGUUGUAACUACUCCGACGAGGUUGAAGGGUCAUCUCACAUUUUGGGCUUGUAAGAUCGACUUCUUCUAAGCAUUUUUUUAGCUUCUCUUUUUCAUUUCAUGUUCGGGUAACAACAGAACACUUCACCUGCACGUCAAUGGCAAACAGGUCAGAAAGAAAGGAAUGUGUCUACCUUCAUUUGUGAGACGUAGCUAGUCUUCACUCAACUCCUACGUGCAUUGGGGGAAAGCCUACUUUAGGAAAUGUUCAGUCUUGCUACUGCAUGUUUCUUUGCAUUUAAACUUAGUGAAACGGUGUUUUUUUUAUCGUUUGAUUUUGGUUUGACAUAAAACAUAUUUUCCAGUUCAUCUUCCUUCUUUUGCUGUAACUACUCCGAGGAGGUUGAAGGGAAGAGUUUGAGAUCUUCCUUGACAACAAGGCAAAAAUGUGUGCUAUACAAUGGAGAAGAGGUGGAAAACUUUUUUUUUUCAAGUUAAUCCACUCGGGAUUCCAGAUGAAGAUUUUUUUCUCCGUGAGAGUGUUUGACUGGAAAGACAGACUGUGGAGACGUGUUUGAGACGACACACAGGCUGCAUCCGAAAUUCGUGUGUGUAACCUCUUCUCCAUCUGCCACACACAUCUCUACCUAGCACACGCUGCUCUUCAUCUGCGUCUGAUGAUGACAACCAUGCGCCAUCAAGCCGAGGAUCAACCUCAGGCCAUGUUGUGUCAUCGGCGGCUGACUUGUCUUGACUGGUCAUUACAAACCAAGUUCAUUCUAUACAGCAAGAGGAGAAAGCAAAUUGUCAU